Long non-coding RNA from Hippocampus zosterae (dwarf seahorse), 401 nucleotides. RefSeq lists it as uncharacterized. The record is from RefSeq and is a predicted model, not a curated record. The transcript is spliced from 3 exons. Lineage: Eukaryota; Metazoa; Chordata; Actinopteri; Syngnathiformes; Syngnathidae.
UGCUUGUGUCCGAGAUCUCGUUCUUUCGGUCACGACCCAUAGCUCGUGACCAUAGGUGAGGGUUGGGACGUAGAUCAACCAAUAAUUGAGAGCUGACGCAGCACCGAUCCGCCUGUCGGUCUCACGCUUCGCUCCAAAACAAAAGUUCAAUGCUUGGUCAGCCUGCAGUAAGCUUGAUAAACAGCCUCGUGGUGACAGCGAUGUGACUCAUCCGAACAAAGCCACAUACUGUAGCUACUCUGUGCACUUCGGUAAGAGGAAUGACUCCAGAUUUUAAUAAAGGGUAAAUAGUGGAGCUUUUCUGCAAUGCAUUGCUGAUUACAUGCACAUGGGAAGCCUAUUAGUCGAGGAAAGAGUGCAGACAAAAGCGUUAUUGAUUAGACGGACAGUUAGAAUCCUAC